This 463-nucleotide ribosomal RNA is filed under the name uncultured bacterium. RNAcentral's name for it is "partial 16S ribosomal RNA". It matches the Rfam family "Bacterial small subunit ribosomal RNA", at positions 28 to 507 of the family's 1533-position model. The record is from RNAcentral.
GAUGAACGCUGACAGAAUGCUUAACACAUGCAAGUCUUUGGCGAAGCUGUGCUUGCACAGCCUAGCCAAGGCGGACGGGUGAGUAACGCGUAAGGAACUUGCCCUGCAGUCAGGGAUAACAGACGGAAACGACUGAUAAGACCUGGUAAAGUCAGGCGGACUCAUGUCCAGCCUGAUGAAAAGUGAUGCUGCAGGAGAGCCUUGCGUCCUAUUAGCUUGUUGGUGGGGUAACGGCCCACCAAGGCGAUGAUAGGUAGCCGGCCUGAGAGGGUGGACGGCCACAAGGGGACUGAGAUACGGCCCUUACUCCUACGGGAGGCAGCAGUGGGGAAUAUUGGACAAUGGGGGCAACCCUGAUCCAGCAAUUCUGUGUGCACGAUGAAGGUUUUCGGAUUGUAAAGUGCUUUCAGCAGGGAAGAAAAAAAUGACGGUACCUGCAGAAGAAGCGACGGCCAAAUACGUG